GGUUGUGGCUCAGUGAUAGAGUGCUUGCCUAGCAUGUGUGAGGCCCUGGGUUCAAUCCUCAGCACCA
Molecule: transfer RNA, 67 nt
Filed under: Marmota monax (woodchuck)
Lineage: Eukaryota; Metazoa; Chordata; Mammalia; Rodentia; Sciuridae
Description: tRNA.Ala
Source: RNAcentral